UUGCUGCUUUGCUGACGAGUGGCGGACGGGUGAGUAAUGUCUGGGAAACUGCCUGAUGGAGGGGGAUAACUACUGGAAACGGUAGCUAAUACCGCAUAACGUCGCAAGACCAAAGAGGGGGACCUUCGGGCCUCUUGCCAUCGGAUGUGCCCAGAUGGGAUUAGCUAGUAGGUGGGGUAACGGCUCACCUAGGCGACGAUCCCUAGCUGGUCUGAGAGGAUGACCAGCCACACUGGAACUGAGACACGGUCCAGACUCCUACGGGAGGCAGCAGUGGGGAAUAUUGCACAAUGGGCGCAAGCCUGAUGCAGCCAUGCCGCGUGUAUGAAGAAGGCCUUCGGGUUGUAAAGUACUUUCAGCGGGGAGGAAGGUGCUGAGGUUAAUAACCUCAGCAAUUGACGUUACCCGCAGAAGAAGCGCCGGCUAACUCCGUGCCAGCAGCCGCGGUAAUACGGAGGGUGCAAGCGUUAAUCGGAAUUACUGGGCGUAAAGCGCACGCAGGCGGUCUGUCAAGUCGGAUGUGAAAUCCCCGGGCUCAACCUGGGAACUGCAUUCGAAACUGGCAGGCUAGAGUCUUGUAGAGGGGGGUAGAAUUCCAGGUGUAGCGGUGAAAUGCGUAGAGAUCUGGAGGAAUA
This 635-nucleotide ribosomal RNA is filed under the name uncultured Pseudomonadota bacterium. RNAcentral's name for it is "bacterial SSU rRNA". It matches the Rfam family "Bacterial small subunit ribosomal RNA", at positions 74 to 708 of the family's 1533-position model. Lineage: Bacteria; Pseudomonadati; Pseudomonadota. The record is from RNAcentral.